UUGCAUGGCUGUCGUCAGCUCGUGUCGUGAGAUGUUCGGUUAAGUCCGCUAACGAGCGCAACCCGUCGUUCGUGUGUUACAAGUGUCACACAAUACCGCCGGUAUUAAGUCGGAGGAAGGUGCGGAUGACGUCAAGUCAGCAUGACCUUUAUAUCCAGGGCUACACACACGCUACAAUGGUCGGCACAAUAGGUUGCCAAGUCGUGAGACGGAGCCAAUCCUCCAAAAGCCGGCCUCAGUUCAGAUUGCAGGCUGCAACUCGCCUGCAUGAAGUUGGAGUUGCUAGUAAACGCAGGUCAGCUAUACUGCGUUGAAUACGUUCCCGGGGAUU
This 331-nucleotide ribosomal RNA is filed under the name uncultured Anaerolineaceae bacterium. RNAcentral describes it as "bacterial SSU rRNA". It matches the Rfam family "Bacterial small subunit ribosomal RNA", at positions 1041 to 1378 of the family's 1533-position model. The record is from RNAcentral. Lineage: Bacteria; Bacillati; Chloroflexota; Anaerolineae; Anaerolineales; Anaerolineaceae.